Xenia sp. Carnegie-2017 is the source of this 221-nucleotide long non-coding RNA. RefSeq lists it as uncharacterized. NCBI's taxonomy places the organism in Eukaryota, Metazoa, Cnidaria, Anthozoa, Malacalcyonacea, Xeniidae. The transcript has 4 exons. The record is from RefSeq and is a predicted model, not a curated record.
GGUUAUUGACUUGAAAGAAAAAACAUUUACUUACUACGACUCUUUAAAGGGAGAUAAUCAGAAUUGCAUCCAGGCUUUACGUGACUAUAUUUGCGCGGAAAGUUUGGAUAAAAAGAAAACAAUAUUUGAUCUAACUGGAUGGAGAAACGACAGUCCUAAGGAUAUACCUGAGCAACUAAAUGGCUGUGACUGUGGGGUUUUUGCUUGUCAGUACGCUGAAU